GUGUGUCAACUCAAGCCCUAACUUUUAACAAGAAAAAAAAAACUCUUCUCCAAAUUACUUUUUCUUUAUCUUAUUCUUUUCACAGGUAAUAUUGUUUAUCUGGAAACGAUUGAAAUCUCGAAAUGUUAAUAAUUACUGUCAAUUUGAUGAUCGGGGCCAUCUUACAGAACACGAUGUUACAUUUGUCUAAAAAGGUACUGAACAAUUAUACCCAAACAUCUGAUGUUGCGAAGAAAAUCUGUAUCCCUUUUAGUAACUGAACAAAGAGAGAAAAUUGCCUGUUCGAAACAUCAAACAAUAAUUGAUAUAUACAUUUAUAAUGGUUGGUUGAAUCCUCCCACAAAAGAUUUACAAAAAAUG
This 360-nucleotide long non-coding RNA is filed under the name Brassica napus (rape). RNAcentral's name for it is "long non-coding RNA (BNAP_LNC022243)". The record is from RNAcentral. Lineage: Eukaryota; Viridiplantae; Streptophyta; Magnoliopsida; Brassicales; Brassicaceae.